ACGCUUUGGCAGCACAUAUACUAAAAACAGGAAUGAUACAGAGAAGAGCAGCAUGGCCCCCCUCAAGGAUAACAUGCAACUUUGUUAACAGUUACAUAUUUUU
This is a small nuclear RNA of Protopterus annectens (West African lungfish), 103 nucleotides long. NCBI's taxonomy places the organism in Eukaryota, Metazoa, Chordata, Ceratodontiformes, Protopteridae. The record is from RefSeq and is a predicted model, not a curated record.